This 164-nucleotide ribosomal RNA is filed under the name uncultured bacterium. RNAcentral's name for it is "partial 16S ribosomal RNA". It matches the Rfam family "Bacterial small subunit ribosomal RNA", at positions 355 to 509 of the family's 1533-position model. The record is from RNAcentral.
UAGGGAAUCUUCCACAAUGGGCGCAAGCCUGAUGGAGCAACACCGCGUGAGUGAAGAAGGGUUUCGGCUCGUAAAGCUCUGUUGUUGGAGAAGAACGUGCGUGAGAGUAACUGUUCACGCAGUGACGGUAUCCAACCACGAAAGUCACGGCUAACUACGUCGCC